GGCUUUUAACUCCUACAAUUUUGUAACUGCCUCUUGACAUUGUCUCCCUUUCUCACUCAAGCCCUUAAACCCGACUUGACAUCAUCAACAAGCUAUUCUACAUCCCAAGCAAAUACCAGACCUCUUCCAUUUUCUCAUCUGGAUUUGAUUUUUAUUCUGGUGCAGCAUGCAAGGAAGAGAUCUGAGGUGCUAAUUGGAUCUCAGAUUAUAAGGAGUUUUCCUCGGAAUAUUAACACCACUACAUUAAGGUUGAAGAUUUGUAUGAAUAGAACUGAUUCGUAUGAAUUGGUGAAAAGUUAAAGAGGAAUACAAGUGGCCAGCUUGU
This is a long non-coding RNA of Rosa rugosa (rugosa rose), 325 nucleotides long. RefSeq lists it as uncharacterized. The transcript has 3 exons. The record is from RefSeq and is a predicted model, not a curated record. NCBI's taxonomy places the organism in Eukaryota, Viridiplantae, Streptophyta, Magnoliopsida, Rosales, Rosaceae.